RNAcentral lists this ribosomal RNA (909 nucleotides) under Triticum aestivum (bread wheat). RNAcentral describes it as "partial small subunit ribosomal RNA". Lineage: Eukaryota; Viridiplantae; Streptophyta; Magnoliopsida; Poales; Poaceae. The record is from RNAcentral.
AUGGCGAGUCGGCGGGAACGGAGGCUUCCGCCCGCACCCGCUUUCCAGAUGGAGAACCCCUUCAGCGUGAAGGUUCUUCAGGUCUUCACCGGCGCCGGCGUCGGCUGCGGCGUCGGAAUCGGCGUCGGCCGCCCAAUCUACCUAGGUAUGAUACCGGGCCUUCAGCAAGUUAUGAGUGCCACAAGAGGUGCAACCGAUUCUUUUUCUGGUGUCACGAGACAUGUUAAUUCUGCUCUAAGGAAAGCAGGGUUAAAGAACAUUGAAGCGGGCAUUGGAUGCGGAGUUGGUAUAGGACAUGGUUUUGGGAUAGGAAUUGCCUUGAAACCACGAGCAAUUCAUGGAAUUCAAUCAUCGAUUGCAGAAGUUUUGUCCAAGUUAACUUCAAAGCUGAGGGAUUCCAGUGGGGAGACAGCUACAUCAGAUCUUACCUCUGGUUCGUUGCCUACCAGUGGACAAAGACCCAAUGGUAUGUCCAUGGAUCUAGAGGCUAAGGCAUUCAAAAGCAAUUUCCAGCAUACUUCAAGCAAUGAAAUAUCACAAGUACAGCCGAUUCAUGAAUUGCGUGGCCAGAAUGGGAUGCAGCAAGAGAUGAUAACAGGAGGUCGAACUGAAAAGGUCAUUGCCAACUUUCUGCAGAGUCCCCUGUUCCAGAAUGAUACAAAAACGGACAUCAGGGAUGCAGCUGUAAAUUUGCAUGGGACGGAUAAUGUACUUCAGUUGGUGCUGAAGCACCAAAGAGUUAUCGAAGAAUUACGAGACGAGAAUGAAAAGCUGCGUCAGGUGCUCAUAGAGGAACUUAAGAUUUCACCAGCUAAAUUACAACCGGAUCGGACAAGUGGAGUGAAGGCCUACUAUCCAUGCUCGGAGUGCUUUGACUGCCGCCGUCGAAGUCGGAAAUCAAACAGAUAG